AUAUUGGACAAUGGGCGAAAGCCUGAUCCAGCCAUGCCGCGUGUGUGAAGAAGGCCUUAGGGUUGUAAAGCACUUUCAUCUGCGAAGAGAAUGACAGUAACAGAAGAAGAAGCUCCGGCUAAAUUCGUGCCAGCAGCCGCGGUAAUACGAAUGGAGCGAGCGUUGUUCGGAAUCACUGGGCGUAAAGCGUGCGCAGGCCGCUAUGAAAGUUAGGAGUGAAAGCCCCGGGCUUAACCCGGGAAUUGCUCUUAAAACUCCAUGGCUAGAGUACUGGAGAGGUUGGCGGAAUUCCGAGUGUAGAGGUGAAAUUCGCAGAUAUUCGGAGGAACACCAAUGGCGUAGGCAGCCAACUGGACAGUAACUGACGCUCAUGCACGAAAGCGUGGGGAGCAAACAGG
Molecule: ribosomal RNA, 398 nt
Filed under: uncultured bacterium
Lineage: Bacteria
Description: bacterial SSU rRNA
Rfam family: Bacterial small subunit ribosomal RNA
Source: RNAcentral